AUGGGAGGAGAUGGGCAGACGGCGGCGGCGGCGUCCUCCUCGCCCAUCGGCGCGCGACACCUGUCAGAGCCCCGUCGGCUCCGUCGAUCUGCCAGACCUAGGUCGCCGGCGUGGCUGCUGUCUCAGGCGAGAAGAGUGGUCGCGUUAAGACGCGGGAAGGGGGAGCAGCCAACCAUGCUCAAGGCCGUCCGUGGCGGCUGCAAAUCGAGGCUGCGGCUACAAAUUGAAGGUCAGUGCGCGGCGGCCCUCUCUCCUUCUCAUCCCCUCUCGCUCGAGCGAAAGUUGCGGACAUAG
Molecule: ribosomal RNA, 294 nt
Filed under: Triticum aestivum (bread wheat)
Lineage: Eukaryota; Viridiplantae; Streptophyta; Magnoliopsida; Poales; Poaceae
Description: partial small subunit ribosomal RNA
Source: RNAcentral